UGGGGAAUUUUGGACAAUGGGCGCAAGCCUGAUCCAGCCAUGCCGCGUGUGUGAAGAAGGCCUUCGGGUUGUAAAGCACUUUCGGCCGGAACGAAAUCGUCUCCGCUAACACCGGGGACGGAUGACGGUACCGGAAGAAGAAGCACCGGCUAACUACGUGCCAGCAGCCGCGGUAAUACGUAGGGUGCGAGCGUUAAUCGGAAUUACUGGGCGUAAAGUGUGCGCAGGUGGCCGCGCAAGUCGAGUGUGAAAGCCCCGAGCUUAACUUGGGAAUUGCGCUCGAAACUACGUGGCUUGAGUGUGGCAGAGGAAGGUGGAAUUCCAGGUGUAGCGGUGAAAUGCGUAGAGAUCUGGAGGAACACCGAUGGCGAAGGCAGCCUUCUGGGCCAACACUGACGCUCAUGCACGAAAGCGUGGGGAGCAA
This 424-nucleotide ribosomal RNA is filed under the name uncultured bacterium. RNAcentral describes it as "bacterial SSU rRNA". It matches the Rfam family "Bacterial small subunit ribosomal RNA", at positions 355 to 771 of the family's 1533-position model. The record is from RNAcentral.